CGGCGGACGGCUGAGUAACACGUAGGAACGUACCCCAAACUGAGGGGAUAAGCACCAGAAAUGGUGUCUAAUACCGCAUGUGCUCCAAGGAGUGAAGCUUCGGCGGUUUGGGAACGGCCUGCGUAUGAUUAGAUUGUUGGUGAGGUAAUGGCUCACCAAGUCGACGAUCAUUAGCUGGUCUGAGAGGAUGACUAGCCAGACUGGAACUGAGAACGGUCCAG
This 221-nucleotide ribosomal RNA is filed under the name uncultured bacterium. RNAcentral's name for it is "partial 16S ribosomal RNA". It matches the Rfam family "Bacterial small subunit ribosomal RNA", at positions 96 to 334 of the family's 1533-position model. The record is from RNAcentral.